AUUGAACGCUGGCGGCAGGCCUAACACAUGCAAGUCGAGCGGAUGAAGGGAGCUUGCUCCUGGAUUCAGCGGCGGACGGGUGAGUAAUGCCUAUGAAUCUGCCUGGUAGUGGGGGAUAACGUCCGGAAACGGGCGCUAAUACCGCAUACGUCCUGAGGGAGAAAGUGGGGGAUCUUCGGACCUCACGCUAUCAGAUGAGCCUAGGUCGGAUUAGCUAGUUGGUGGGGUAAAGGCCUACCAAGGCGACGAACCGUAACUGGUCUGAGAGGAUGAUCAGUCACACUGGAACUGAGACACGGUCCAGACUCCUACGGGAGGCAGCAGUGGGGAAUAUUGGACAAUGGGCGAAAGCCUGAUCCAGCCAUGCCGCGUGUGUGAAGAAGGUCUUCGGAUUGUAAAGCACUUUAAGUUGGGAGGAAGGGCAGUAAAUUAAUACCUUGCUGUUUUGACGUUACCAACAGAAUAAGCACCGGCUAACUUCGUG
This 484-nucleotide ribosomal RNA is filed under the name uncultured bacterium. Its description in RNAcentral is "partial 16S ribosomal RNA". It matches the Rfam family "Bacterial small subunit ribosomal RNA", at positions 30 to 507 of the family's 1533-position model. The record is from RNAcentral.